RNAcentral lists this ribosomal RNA (483 nucleotides) under uncultured bacterium. RNAcentral describes it as "partial 16S ribosomal RNA". It matches the Rfam family "Bacterial small subunit ribosomal RNA", at positions 30 to 507 of the family's 1533-position model. The record is from RNAcentral.
UUGAACGCUGGCGGCAGGCCUCACACAUGCAAGUCGAGCGGAUGAAGGGAGCUUGCUCCUGGAUUCAGCGGCGGACGGGUGAGUAAUGCCUAGGAAUCUGCCUGGUAGUGGGGGAUAACGUCCGGAAACGGGCGCUAAUACCGCAUACGUCCUGAGGGAGAAAGUGGGGGAUCUUCGGACCUCACGCUAUCAGAUGAGCCUAGGUCGGAUUAGCUAGUUGGUGGGGUAAAGGCCUACCAAGGCGACGAUCCGUAACUGGUCUGAGAGGAUGAUCAGUCACACUGGAACUGAGACACGGUCCAGACUCCUACGGGAGGCAGCAGUGGGGAAUAUUGGACAAUGGGCGAAAGCCUGAUCCAGCCAUGCCGCGUGCGUGAAGAAGGUCUUCGGAUUGUAAAGCACUUUAAGUUGGGAGGAAGGGCAGUAAGUUAAUACCUUGCUGUUUUGACGUUACCAACAGAAUAAGCACCGGCUAACUUCGUG